CCUGUUUCACCAUGUACAAAAAUGGAGGAUGCUGUGCCACACACGAGUGCUAUGAAGUGAAUCUACUUUUACCCAUCAUAGCAAAGAGCCAGAUUUUCCAAACGUAAAGAUUAUCAAAGCACCUUUAAAAAGAGCCAGAUUUCCUGCCUCACCUUGCUCUGUUCAUCUCUCUUCCAUCCAUUCUUUGAGGCACAAGAAGGCAUCCAACAUACUUUGACACAUGCAACUGCACAAGUUACCCAGCGAAACGGAUGGGAAAGGUUGUGUGUCUUAACUCGUUUCUACUGGGCGUCUCCCAAGGGUAAUUUGCACUAUCACAGAUCCUCAUAGGAGGCGAGAGGCUUCAUACCAGCUAUGAACUGUCUGCCCAGAGGAGUUUGCCAUCUAUUGUCUCCUCUAUGAAAUCCUAUGAAAUAUGAACUUUCAUUUCUACCCAGGAGAACUUUUACAAUCUUUUCUCCAAUGCCUG
Gavialis gangeticus (Gharial) is the source of this 469-nucleotide long non-coding RNA. RefSeq lists it as uncharacterized. The record is from RefSeq and is a predicted model, not a curated record. The transcript has 3 exons. NCBI's taxonomy places the organism in Eukaryota, Metazoa, Chordata, Crocodylia, Gavialidae.